AUGCAGGUGGUCAUGAUGUUAUGGCUGACUGGUGUGUGUGCAGGUCCUUUAGACCUCAGUAAUAUUAUGCAGGUGGUCAUGAUGUUAUGGCUGACUGGUGUGUGUGCAGGUCCUUUAGACCUCAGUAUGUAUCUCCAACACAAAUAUGGCAAAAAGUCCUGUUAAUCUAAAUAAAACUGUUGUAUUGUAAAAAUGGUCUUAGAUUAUCAGCUUCCUUCCACCAUGAGUCAGCCCUCAUCUCUCUCUUUCUCUCUCUGUUUCACUAAGCUAUCUUCCUGUGUGUCAGAAAGUCGAGCAUCAAGCCAAUAAGCUGUGAAGGCUGUGAUCUAGCUCCUAGCUAUUUACUGUUCUGUGUGUGUGCGUUUGUGUGUGUGGUAGUCUGUUUUCUGACUGUGUGUUUAAAAAAAGCCUAAACAGGACUGAGCUUUUGCUGAGCAUUGAGUCAGCACAGCUCCAGUUUGAAUCCCUGACCAUGACUGUCCCAGCCAGCCGGCUUGACACAGUGUGUGUGAGCAUGUUUGUGUCUGGAUGUGUGUGUAUGCGUCUAUGCGUGCGUGUGUGUUUGUGUGGAUGUCUGUAUGUGUGCUUGUUUGACUGUAUAUGUGCAAGUGUUUGCUUAUGGGUGAGUUUAUAUCUCUGUCUGUGUGUCUGUGUGUUUCUGUCUAAGAGUGUUUGUCUGUGUGUUUCUGUCUAAGAGUGUUUGUCUGUGUGUCUGUGUGUUUCUGUCUAAGAGUGUUUGUCUGUGUGUCUGUGUGUUUCUGUCUAAGAGUGUUAGUCUGUGUGUGUCUACAGCAGGAAGGUGGAAACCAGGACAAACAAAUUACACAUAAUAUUUGCUUCCAACUCUGCACACAUUCUCUCUCUUUCUCUUUCUUCUUCUAAGAAACACACCAAGAUAGUCACACACAAUACAUUGCAUGGAGCUAGAAUGAGGGUUAGGGUUAGGGAGGUCUGUGCUGGUUUGCAUGUUUUAGCAACAACCAAGCAACAUGAGGCCAGGCUGAGUAGAACACCGUCUCUGUGUGAGAUCAUCAGCAUCUGUGAUAUAAACAGUCAGCAGGGGUUUGUUCUGGAUUCUCCCAGCCAACAUUACCCUCUUUCAUCAUUACCUUAUUUCAUCAUUACCCUCCAUCAUUACCCUGUUUCAUCAGAUAUGUGGACUCAAGUCACAUAUUUUGCGACUUAAAACUUGACUUGGUAGAAAGAGAAAACACUUGCAACUCGACUUCAUGCCUGACUGGCUGUGUCCACUGACGGGAAUAUCCACUGACGGGAAUAUCCACUAAUGGGGGUAUCUACUAAUGGAAGUAUCCACUAAUGGGAGUGUCCACUAAUGGAAGUACCCACUAAUGGGAGUAUCCACUAAUGGAAGUAUCCACUAAGGGGGGUAUCCACUAAUGGGGGUAUCCACUAAUGGGAGUAUCCACUAAUGGGGGUAUCCACUAAUGGAAGUAUCCACUAAUGGGGGUAUCUACUAAUGGAAGUAUCCACUAAUGGGAGUGUCCACUAAUGGAAGUACCCACUAAUGGGAGUAUCCACUAAUGGGGGUAUCCACUAAUGGUAUUAUCCACUAAUGGAAGUAUCCACUAAUGGGAGUAUCCACUAAUGGGGGUAUCUACUAAUGGAAGUAUCCACUAAUGGGAGUGUCCACUAAUGGAAGUACCCACUAAUGGGGGUAUCCACUAAUGGGGGUAUCCACUAAUGGAGGUAUCCACUAAUGGGAUUAUCCACAAAUGGGAUUAUCCACUAAUGGGGGUAUCCACUAAUGGGGGUAUCCACUAAUGGGAGUAUCCACUAAUGGGGGUAUCUACUAAUGGGAGUAUCCACUAAUGGGAUUAUCCACUAAUGGUAUUAUCCACUAAUGGGGGUAUCCACUAAUGGGAGUAUCCACUAAU
This is a long non-coding RNA of Esox lucius (northern pike), 1895 nucleotides long. The record is from Ensembl. NCBI's taxonomy places the organism in Eukaryota, Metazoa, Chordata, Actinopteri, Esociformes, Esocidae.